This 405-nucleotide ribosomal RNA is filed under the name uncultured Oxalobacteraceae bacterium. RNAcentral describes it as "bacterial SSU rRNA". It matches the Rfam family "Bacterial small subunit ribosomal RNA", at positions 108 to 507 of the family's 1533-position model. Lineage: Bacteria; Pseudomonadati; Pseudomonadota; Betaproteobacteria; Burkholderiales; Oxalobacteraceae. The record is from RNAcentral.
GAGUAAUAUAUCGGAGUACCUAACGAUGGGGAGUAACGUAAGCGAAGUUACGCUAAUACGCAUACGAUCUAUGGAUGAAAGGCAGGGGACCUUCGGGCCGUUGUUGCGUCCUGGGGCGGCCGGAUAUCUGAUUAGCUAGUUGGUGAGGUAAAGGCUCACCAAGGCGACGAUCAGUAGCUGGUCUGAGAGGACGACCAGCCACACUGGAACUGAGACACGGUCCAAACUCCUACGGGAGGCAGCAGUGGGGAAUUUUGGACAAUGGGCGCAAGCCUGAUCCAGCAAUGCCGCGUGAGUGAAGAAGGCCUUCGGGUUGUAAAGCUCUUUUGUCAGGGAAGAAACGGCUGUGGCUAAUAUCCACGGCUAAUGACGGUACCUGAAGAAUAAGCACCGGCUAACUACGUG